GACGAACGCUGGCGGCGUACCUAAUACAUGCAAGUCGAACGAACCGCGACUAGGUGCUUGCACUUGGUCAAGGUGAGUGGCGAACGGGUGAGUAACACGUGGGUAACCUACCUCAUAGUGGGGGAUAACAGUCGGAAACGACUGCUAAUACCGCAUAGGACAUAGGAUCACAUGAUCCAGUGAGGAAAGGUGGCGCAAGCUAUCGCUAAGAGAUGGACCCGCGGUGCAUUAGCUAGUUGGUAGGGUAAAGGCCUACCAAGGCGAUGAUGCAUAGCCGACCAGAGGGGGGGAUGGGCCACAUUGUGACAGAGACACGCCCCAACCCCCUACGGGAGGCACCAGGGGGGAAUCUUCGACAAUGGCCGCAAUCCUGACGCAGCAACGCCGCGGGAGUGAAGAAGGUCUUCGGAUCUUAAAGCUGUUUUGUGGGAGAAAAACAGCAAAUAGUGAAUUGUUUGGGGGUGUGACGUUACCAAACAAAAAACCCCGGGCAAGCUCGGUC
This 502-nucleotide ribosomal RNA is filed under the name uncultured bacterium. RNAcentral describes it as "partial 16S ribosomal RNA". It matches the Rfam family "Bacterial small subunit ribosomal RNA", at positions 28 to 507 of the family's 1533-position model. The record is from RNAcentral.